This 73-nucleotide transfer RNA is filed under the name Candidatus Magasanikbacteria bacterium CG_4_10_14_0_2_um_filter_37_12. RNAcentral's name for it is "tRNA-Ala". It matches the Rfam family "tRNA". From Rfam's summary of the family: Transfer RNA (tRNA) molecules are approximately 80 nucleotides in length. Their secondary structure includes four short double-helical elements and three loops (D, anti-codon, and T loops). Lineage: Bacteria; Candidatus Magasanikiibacteriota. The record is from RNAcentral.
GGGCCCGUAGCUCAGCUGGUAGAGCGCUGCGUUUGCAACGCAGAUGUCAGGAGUUCGAAUCUCCUCGGGUCCA